UAGGGAAUCUUCCACAAUGGACGCAAGUCUGAUGGAGCAACGCCGCGUGAGUGAAGAAGGCUUUCGGGUCGUAAAACUCUGUUAUUGAAGAAGAACGUGUGUGACAGUAACUGGUCAUGCAGUGACGGUAUUCAAUCAGAAAGUCACGGCUAACUACGUGCCAGCAGCCGCGGUAAUACGUAGGUGGCAAGCGUUGUCCGGAUUUAUUGGGCGUAAAGCGAGUGCAGGCGGUCUUUUAAGUCUGAUGUGAAAGCCUUCGGCUUAACCGAAGAAGGGCAUCGGAAACUGGGAGACUUGAGUGCAGAAGAGGAGAGUGGAACUCCAUGUGUAGCGGUGAAAUGCGUAGAUAUAUGGAAGAACACCAGUGGCGAAGGACGGCUCUCUGGUCUGUAACUGACGCUGAGGCUCGAAAGCGUGGGUAGCAAACAGGAUUAGAUACCCUGGUAGU
Molecule: ribosomal RNA, 448 nt
Filed under: uncultured bacterium
Lineage: Bacteria
Description: partial 16S ribosomal RNA
Rfam family: Bacterial small subunit ribosomal RNA
Source: RNAcentral